Molecule: non-coding RNA, 31 nt
Filed under: Mus musculus (house mouse)
Lineage: Eukaryota; Metazoa; Chordata; Mammalia; Rodentia; Muridae
Source: RNAcentral
UGCCAAGGUUUACGUCAUGAGUAGAUCAAGU